Manis javanica (Malayan pangolin) is the source of this 915-nucleotide long non-coding RNA. RefSeq lists it as uncharacterized. The record is from RefSeq and is a predicted model, not a curated record. NCBI's taxonomy places the organism in Eukaryota, Metazoa, Chordata, Mammalia, Pholidota, Manidae.
CAAUACUAAGGGGCCUGACCUUGUAAUGGAGACGCAGGAGACGCUCCUGAAGACGUGACGCUACUCUCUGCUUCUACCACCACACCACCUCUGUCUUUUCUGCCCUCUCUCCCAUCUUGCAGGGACCUUGUGACUGCACUGGGCCCACCUGGAUAACCCAGGAUAAUCUUUCCAUCUCAAAGUCCUUAAUGGAAUCACAUUAGCAAAGCUCCUUUGGAAAGAAGGCAUAAACCUUAACACCUCCCCUCUGCCCAACUCUGGUGUGAGACACUUACUAAGAAAACUCAAGAGGCUUUUAACAACAGAAAUCAAAGGCCACAGGUUCCCGAGAGGAUCUGAAGCCUGUAGCUCGCUGUAGAGAUUACUUCCCAGCUCCAAUUGCCUUCAAGGUCGAAAUUAUAAUUCUUUCUGGGAGAGAUUAAUGAAUGACCAACAAUGGGUCUCUGGCGAAUGGACACAACAAGGAUUGUAAAUCUACAAAUGACAAGACUAGUCUUUUGAAUCUCCUUACUACUGGAGAAACAGGGUGGGAAAGCAGGGACCACAAGAGAGGAUCAGCACAAAGAUGCGCAUGGAGGACAGACAUCAAUUCAUCCCACUUCUCAGGGGAAAACUUCAUCCUCAAGACAACCUGGUGUCAGGAGAGAGCUUGACAGGUCCCGGUAGACCAUCCUGAUGGCUGUGUGAGGGCCUCUCUGAGCCUGGCAAAGGGGAGAAGGUAGUACUAUCAACGUGAAAAUACUUAGGUAUCUUAAGGACUGUGGGUAAAAUUGGAACAUUUCCAGAAUAUCUCGCCCGGCUUUGGUGCAGUUGCACAUCCUCAAGGGUGGAGAGAGGUUCAUCUCCAUGUCAAGGGGUAAUUACCUGGGCAACCGAGGGCAUGUCUGAACCUGAGAGGUUAAGGGGAGGGGCUGG